This is a long non-coding RNA of Gadus macrocephalus (Pacific cod), 1545 nucleotides long. RefSeq lists it as uncharacterized. The transcript is spliced from 2 exons. NCBI's taxonomy places the organism in Eukaryota, Metazoa, Chordata, Actinopteri, Gadiformes, Gadidae. The record is from RefSeq and is a predicted model, not a curated record.
CACGGCGAACCAGAGUCUGAAGUGAAGGGCUCUGGACUGGGAGAACACGCUCUUCAGAGAAAAUAAUCAAGAAGGAAUCAGUCACGACGACCAGUUAAACAAGAUGUGACACCUGAGAGUACACCAUUACUUCACAGAUAAUAACAACUAUUGAUGCAUGUGAGCAUGUAAACCUUUCAUUUAUAGACCAGUUGUACUACGCCCUGCUUCUGAAGAAACUUGCUUGUAUAUGUAUUUAUAUACAAUUUUAUUCAUUUAUUGUGUGUACAUACAUAAACCGUAUUCCUUAACUGAGUGGCCUGCAUCCUGACAUUAAGCCUAAUAGGCCGUCAUCACAGAGGUGGAAUAGGCCGAAGAACUCACUAAUGAAGCUAAUUUGGCUAAUUAUUGGCCUGUAAGCCAGUGUCCAUUAUUGACAUCAUGAGGUACCCCUGUGUUCAAAACUUCCAUUACACCUGAUUGAUUUAGGCCUCAUGGACCAUAUUGGGUUUUAAUGUUGGUCAGUCAGAGGAUAUUUAACGUUCUCCAUCCCUCCUUUAAUUCAGUGUCCAGGUCUCAAUUCUGCUCAGUGUUUCUUUUAAUAAUGACAAUAAUCAAUGAUCCCUUGAAUCCCACAACAAUCAUCUUUCCUUAAAAACAAACAAAGUCCAUGUUUGGUGGUCAUUGCACAAUACAUUGUAAUAGCAGGAUUUAAAUAUUAAGAGACAAAUACUUCAAAUGUAAAAAUCUCUUAAAAUGUGCUUAAAUGAUUGAAACAUCUUGUAAAACUCCAAAUACUUUGUCUUUCUUGCAUGCAUCUGGAGGCUCUAUCCCAAAUCUGUUCCUGCAUUGGUGCACACGCACAUACAAUCGCUCACAAACAGACAGUCACUAACACAAACACAGUCACACACACACACACCUGUGACACACCGACCUCCCUCCGAGACAGCUUUGGAAUGUUGUUUAGUUUCAAAUUCUUUAUAAACACAUUCUUGUAAAGAAUAUGUUUCAAAUGGGGGGCCCACAGUUUUAGCUUUUAGUGCAAGUUUAAAAGCGAGUAAUGGGGCAGAGCUCCACUGGGGGAGCUAUAAGGUAUAGCUAUAAGGGUUAGGGACCUGACAGUAAACCAGGGUGUAGAAGGCCACUCCUGGUGACUUUCAGCACCAGGAAACGCAGGUCUUUAACUGAAACAAGGAAGAUUCUUGGUCUUUGUAGUUGGAAUUUGUGACAUAAUAUAAUGAGCUGUUGUUGCUAUGGAUACAAAAUAAAACAAAAAGAAUAAUGAAAAAGGCACCGGCAAAGCCAAGAAGGUGUCUUCAGUAGGCUCCCUCCUCGGACCACACCUACUUUACACUCCUAUUUUCAAGAUUAGCAUUAUUUUUAUAUUUUAUAAAAAAAUAUAAAAAUAAUACAAAUCUUGAAAAUAGAUUUCGGAUUAUAAAAACGAAAUCUGGAGAGCGUGAGCGUGUGUACAGAUAUAUGCAUCUUCAGCAAGCAAGGAUAAAUGCACAUGGAAAACAAUUUUAGCAUACAAAUGUGGACAUUUGUGUUGCAUUUUCAAAA